RNAcentral lists this ribosomal RNA (443 nucleotides) under Madascincus polleni. RNAcentral's name for it is "partial 16S ribosomal RNA". It matches the Rfam family "Bacterial large subunit ribosomal RNA", at positions 1963 to 2597 of the family's 2925-position model. Lineage: Eukaryota; Metazoa; Chordata; Lepidosauria; Squamata; Scincidae. The record is from RNAcentral.
AAUCACUUGUCUUCUAAAUAAAGACCAGUAUGAACGGCUAAAUGAGGACAGGCCUGUCUCCUACAACUAAUCAGUGAAACUGAUCUUCCAGUACAAAAGCUGGAAUACACACAUUAGACGAGAAGACCCUGUGGAGCUUCAAACCAACUAUUAAAAAGCACACGACAGCACCUAAUACGCGGUUUUAAGUUGGGGCGACUUCGGAAAAAAACAAAACUUCCAAGCACAGGACCACAAAUUCUAACAAUGGCCAACAAGCCAAAGUUUAAACUACACCAGACCCAGUACUACUGAUCAACGAACCAAGUUACCCCAGGGAUAACAGCGCUAUCUUCUUCAAGAGUCCAUAUCGACAAGAAGGUUUACGACCUCGAUGUUGGAUCAGGACACCCAAAUGGUGCAGCCGCUAUUAAUGGUUCGUUUGUUCAACGAUUAACAGUCCU